This 621-nucleotide long non-coding RNA is filed under the name Fukomys damarensis (Damara mole-rat). Its description in RNAcentral is "lncRNA (ENSFDAG00000023924.1)". The record is from RNAcentral. Lineage: Eukaryota; Metazoa; Chordata; Mammalia; Rodentia; Bathyergidae.
GGGCGGCGCUUCGUUCCGGGGGUCGGGGCUCCCUCGGCGGCUCCGCGGGGGGGGUGUGCAACCUGGACACCAGGGCCUCGGCGCUUCGGGACGCAGCUGGGAAUCCCUGUGCCGAGGGCAGCAUACCCGCCGCGCGGGCGAGGGCAACAACCGGGAGCUGUGAGUUCGAGGCCAGCACCGGCUCCCUUCCCUCCAAAACCAACCUGGACCUCACGGCAGUUCUUUCCUUUUCCCCUCACCAGAGACCUUCUAGUUUCCAACAUCCACCCUCCUCCUGUACCACACUCCCCACAAACCUUGAGGGGCCGUCUUGGUCCAGUCAGCUCUUCAGAACCUCAGUGUUAGCGCGGAACCGAGCUUCGAUGUUCGGAGUCUGCGGAACCUUCAGGAGCAAAGCGACGGCGCGCACGUGGGGGAGGCGGAGCCAGAGGCGGCUCUGUUCGCGCAUGCGCGGUGGGCGGCGAGAGAGGCCCGCCAGAGGGCUGGGCAUCCACUAGGGCUCUGGAAAGGUUUCGCUUGUGAAAACGACAGACCGCUGCAAAUAAAAGGCGCCAACACCAAGGGCCACAGGAAAGUGGAAAAAAUCGUUUUGUGAACAACCCUAUAAAACUAUGACCAAAC